This 79-nucleotide transfer RNA is filed under the name Sphaerisporangium rufum. RNAcentral describes it as "tRNA-Gly". The record is from RNAcentral. Lineage: Bacteria; Bacillati; Actinomycetota; Actinomycetes; Streptosporangiales; Streptosporangiaceae.
GCCCCGCUGGACCGGCGGGAGGCCACCGCGGCGCUCCCGGUGCCGCUGGUGGAGCCGCUCGACCCGGCCGCGGGGUUCC